This 225-nucleotide unclassified non-coding RNA is filed under the name Hevea brasiliensis (rubber tree). The record is from RNAcentral. Lineage: Eukaryota; Viridiplantae; Streptophyta; Magnoliopsida; Malpighiales; Euphorbiaceae.
UGCUGUCAGUAUUGCAAGGGUAAGUAAUUUUUAAAUGAAAUUCCAAUAUUAAUCUCUGCUGUCUUUUCCUUGAUAAAAUGCAGGAUGUUAUUUCUUUUCUUUAUUUAACUUUCUAGUGUGAUGCACUAUAGUUACAUGGUUAAACCUGAUAGCAAGGGCUUUUGUUUGCUUUAUCAAGUUAGGUGCUUAUGAUCAUGGUGCAAAUUUCAGGAUUUUUCCAUAAAA